GUGGGGAAUAUUGGACAAUGGGGGGAACCCUGAUCCAGCCAUGCCGCGUGUGUGAAGAAGGCCUUUUGGUUGUAAAGCACUUUAAGUGGGGAGGAGGCUUACCUGGUUAAUACCUGGGCUAAGUGGACGUUACCCACAGAAUAAGCACCGGCUAACUCUGUGCCAGCAGCCGCGGUAAUACAGAGGGUGCGAGCGUUAAUCGGAUCUACUGGGCGUAAAGCGCGCGUAGGUGGUUAAUUAAGUCAAAUGUGAAAUCCCCGAGCUUAACUUGGGAAUUGCAUUCGAUACUGGUUGGCUAGAGUAUGGGAGAGGAUGGUAGAAUUCCAGGUGUAGCGGUGAAAUGCGUAGAGAUCUGGAGGAAUACCGAUGGCGAAGGCAGCCAUCUGGCCUAAUACUGACACUGAGGUGCGAAAGCAUGGGGAGCAAACAGGAUUAGAUACCCCUGUAGUCC
RNAcentral lists this ribosomal RNA (451 nucleotides) under uncultured bacterium. RNAcentral's name for it is "partial 16S ribosomal RNA". It matches the Rfam family "Bacterial small subunit ribosomal RNA", at positions 354 to 796 of the family's 1533-position model. The record is from RNAcentral.